Oryctolagus cuniculus (rabbit) is the source of this 11105-nucleotide non-coding RNA. The record is from RefSeq and is a predicted model, not a curated record. NCBI's taxonomy places the organism in Eukaryota, Metazoa, Chordata, Mammalia, Lagomorpha, Leporidae.
UGUGUGUGUGUGUGUGUGUGUGUGUGUGUGUGUGCGUGCCGAGGGCCUGGUGCCGGCGCGCGGGGCUCCUGGAGAGCGCGCUGGCGCAGCCCUGCCGCGGCCUGCGGGUCUCCGCCAGGCACGCCCGCGCUGGGAAGGCUGCGAUCGCAGCCAAGUGCAAACGGCGGUGCCGCGAGAGGCUGCGGUGCACGCGGGCCGCCAGCUUCCAGAGCGAGGGUGGUGACAAGGUGCAGCACUUCCCCUGGCGCCCUGCAUCGGCAACCCUGGCAGGACAGGCAGCAGGUGCUCUGGGACACUGAGGAAGAGGAAGAGUAUCUCCCCUAGGCUUAGAGAGUCGGAGGGGGUCUUCUAGCAGAAGAGACAUUCAAGCUGAGACCCCAAAGCUGAGCAGAGGUAGAAAGCAGCCGUGUCCCGGCGCUGGUGGAGCUGUUGUGUCCAGGGCCAGGCUGAAGGGGCUGCAGCACGGGGAACGCAGGCUCCAGUGAUCCGCGAUCUUAGCUGCUGCUAUUCACUUGUUUUCUGGGCGGCCUGCCUUCCUCCACUUUUUAUCUCAGCGUGGUGAAUGCAGCCUGCUUGUCAUACAAAGGAAAGUGCGCACAUUUCGUCUGUGGGUGUGAAGUCAAGCCGUCAGCUCCGCGCUCCAGGGUUAGCUUCUGACGGCGAACUCUGCGGUGGCAGCAGGCUCGCACGAGCAGAAGGAGAUUUCGUUUUACUUCUCUCGUGUAGAUGGUGGUGGUGCCCUCAUGAGACGGCCCGACGCGCAGGGUCCCCGGCUGAUGCGGACACCUAAUGUUGCGCAUGCGCCUGACGGAUGCAUCGCGCCCAGACCCUGCGGUUGGGUUGUCAUUCCCAAUAAAUGAUGCCAUUGGGAAAUUUUAUUGUAAAGACUUCCGCAGUGCUGAAAAUCUGAUAGAGCACAUGGCUUGAUGUGGGUGCUGACAGCCACAGUAUCUGUCCAAGGAACUAUGGCAGAUGAACUAGCAGGGUGCUUUUCUCUCGGGAGCAGGCUGCACUUCGAAGGGAAAAUGUUUGCAUUCCCUCCCCGGCCUCCCGCCCCCGGCCCUCUGCCCUGAACUACACAAAGUCCCACUGGAUCCAAGAAGCUGGCACCGGAACCACUCGCUCUUGUUAGCCAUACAGGCCCCAGGGGCUCUAAAUACAAACAAUCUCCAUUAUAAAACGGGCCCCUACACAUGGUAUUUCCAGAAAAUACUUGUACCUGUGUUCUGCCCUGCUGCAGUUUCUGAGAUGAUUACAUGCUUACGCCAGGGCAUGGCGCGGGGCCAAGCCAGAGGUCUGCCGGCUGGAGUUUCAAUAGUGCUCAUUAUGAAGAAGUUUCUCUUCCUAGCCCUGGAAGGAAAAAGCCACUCUCAGAUAAAGUGUAUGAUAUGAUUACCGUUGCUCUAGAUAACCGCAAGUAUUACUUCCGACACGAUAAGGGAUUGUUUUCUGUCUCCCUAGCGCAGAGCUGGGCUCGGCCUUUUUAAGAAGUGGUGGCAUUUCUGAAGGCCACUUGAUCAGUUUGGAACCUCUGGGAGCGUGGGGUUGCCAGGCAGAUAACAAUCAAUACCGGUUUCAGCUACCACAGCGACUGAAGUGCGGGGUGGGGGUGGGAGCUUGGGGGGAGGUGUGGAACCGGGAACACAGGGCCCCAGGGUCUCUGGCCGAGAUAGGUGCAGGCCUGGCGACCAAAGGCCGAGCCUGUCCGGAUGUCGUCGGAGGAUUCCUUACCUCGUGCCAACCUCGUUAGGAUUCAGCUGAGCCAGAGAGCUAGGAUGCUUACCUCCCCAGAAGGAUUUGAUGGUUUUGUUUUGUUUUGUUUUGUUCUGCUGCUUUCCCAGGUGCAUGAGCAGAGAACUGGAGUGGACGUGGAGCAGCUGGGACUCGAACUGUUCCCAUAAGGGAUACCGAUGUCGCAGGUGGCGGUUUAACCCGUUGCACCGUAAAACCAGCCCCCUUGGAAGGCAUGCACUGUGGCUUGGCUCAGGUGCGAACACUUGUGAGAGAGAUGACUGUAGCUUUGUGAUGCCUUUCAUUCUGGUAGAAUGUCAUUUUGAAGAAUCUUGGACUUUGAAACUUUUUUUUCACUUGAGAGAGACGGAGAGAUUUAACAGUUAUUUAACACUGUCUGGGUACAUAGCAACGAGCCAGUGGAGGAGCCGAGACCACAAAUCCUCGAGUUUCGACUGACUCACGCCAUCAGAAGAAACAGAGUUGAAGCUGAACUGCCGUGUUCUGAGCCUUUGGGGAUGGGCUUGACUGCGGAGCCCCAUUCAGCUGACAGAUGACCCACGGAUGCUGGGGAGGCGUUGCCAUGGAGAGCACAAAGCAGGCAUCUGUGGGCCCCAACAAGCAGGCAGGGCGCCCCCCACCCCAUCACCCUUUCAGAACCCAGAACCUCCUCUUCAAAAAUGAGGAAGCUCUUCUCCUAGUGGCUUGGAGCUCUGCUUAAAGUCACAGAGUGAGGUUUACCUGGACAGUCUCCGUCCACCCUAUUUGUAGUAAAACACACACACACACACACACACUCACACAGAACACAAAUAACUCUUGAUUUUUUUCCCCUCGGGGAACUGCCGCUCUCCCACUGUCAGACCAUCUAGCGUGGUUGGAGCUGACUGUCUACGCUCUAGGCGUGGCCACCCAGGAAAGUACAUUUUCCUGGACAGUGCCCAGGGAUAGGUGUGUGACUCAAGCAGAGUGAAGAAGACUCAGUUCUUAGAAGUAGUUGGAUAAAGAAGGUUGUCAAGAGGGUAGGAAACGGGCCUGGAAGGUGUGGCUUCCAUCUUGCCCCUCUAUUCUGGGAGCCUGCCCGAGAGCGGAGCCUGCAAAGAGAAGAGUGGAAUCAAGACACACAGAGGCAGCGUCAUGAAAAGGUGCUGGAGCACCGGGAUCCAGCCAUGACAGAGACUGGCAUAGCCUCAGAUUGUGCCUUUAAUGAGCCAGUAAACUCCCCAUUUAUGCUCCAGGCUAUUUGCAAUGUUUUCAUUCAUUUCCAACAAAGAGAACCAAGCGGGGUUAGCACAUGUCCAAACAGGGAGGAGAGAGGAAGCAUCCUCGUACUCUUUCCCAUGUCUUCAGACAUCCUUGUCUUCUUGUUUAGAGGAAGUCGUCUAUCUGGAUUCUCUGAAAUUGUCACUGGAAGACAUUGAGAGGGGGUCUUGACCCCUAAAAUUGCCCUCCCUUUGGAGAUUUCCUACUCAUCCUACUGCUGCCAUCACACAUAAAACAGCCCUUCUCUCCUCUUAAUAAACAUAUGUCCAGGUUCUGCAAGGUUGACUGUGGCGGGGGGAAUGGACCUGUUGGAGGGACCAGCUGGCCCUCAUAGCUUCCGUGCCUGCUAUCCUGAUGUUUGUCUUUCAUUGAUAUUCUUGAAAGUCAGCAUGUUUCCCCACAGGCUUAUGCUGAGCAGAUGAGGAAAAUGGGCCACCCCCAACCCCCACUCCCCCAGCCCACCUCACCCUUGCCCAGUAUUAUGUAUACAGUUGCACAGUCUCUCCCUGUCCUCUAACCGGAAGGAAGCCAGGGUGGACAGAAGGAGCAAUCCCAUGAUGCCCUGCUUCCUUUACUCCUCUGCUCCUGUUACGUGCUUCUCCCUUCAACUCUUUUUUUUUUUUUUUUACAGGCAGAGUGGACAGUGAGAGAGACAGAGAGAAAGGUCUUCUUUUUCCGUUGGUUCACCCCCCAGUGGCCGCCGCGGCCGGCACAUUGCGCUGAUCUGAAGCCAGGAGCCAGGUGCUUCUCCUGGUCUCCCAUGCGGGUGCAGGGCCCAAGCACUUGGGCCAUCCUCCACUGCAUUCCUGGGCCACAGCAGAGAGCUGGCCUGGAAGAGGGGCAACCGGGACAGAAUCCGGCACCCCGACCGGAACUAGAACCUGGUGUGCCAGUGCCGCAGGUGGAGGAUUAGCCUAUGGAACCACGGUGCCGGCCUCUUUUUUUUUUUUUUUUUAAGAUUUUAUUUAUUUAUUUGAAAGAGUUAGAGAGAGAGAGAGAGAGAGGUCUUCCAUCCACUGGUUCACUCCCCAAUUGGUUGCAACGUCUGGAGCUGCACUGAUCCAAAGCCAGGCGCUUCCUCUGGAUCUUUCCACAUGGGUGCAGGGGACCAAGGACUUGGGCCAUCUUCUACUGCUUUCUCAGGCCAUAGCAGAGAGCUGGAUCAGAAGUGGAGCAGAGGGGGGACUCGAACCAGUGCCCAUAUGAGAUGCCGGCACUGCAGGUGGCAGCUUUACCCACUACUCCAUAGCACCAGCACCCCCUCAACUCUUUACUCGAGGGUUCUGUGCUCAGCUUGACUUUGAGGACAUUUGAGUGAUUAAAGUGUAUGGAGUUGAUUCCCCACCCCUACCCCCAGCAAAGGCUUGGAAAAGUAUCCCAGCACUAUUUCAUUUUCCUUAUGGAGCCCUGAGCACAGAAUUGCUCCAUAAAACAGCCUGAUGAUGACAGAUUCUUGGUGAGAUGCUGCCCUGUGUUGAAGGUGAGCGUGGGGUCAUUUGUGAUAUUGUCCACUUUAAGCCAACUGAGUCCUGCCCAUUCGGACCCUUCCGGCAGCUCUCACAUUAGGGUCGCACCAGUGGAGCUUUUGACUGAGAAGUUGCCUAGUUCUCCUGACUAUUUAAGAAUCUGAAUUUCUAAGGUGGACCCAACUUAUGCGCACUUUGAGAAAGCUCCGAAGGUGAUUCUGGUGACCAGCCAGGUGGAAAACCACUGGGACCAAGACCUCAGCUCUUAGGAGACUCAGAGUCAGCACUACACCAGGCCUGGUUUUGAGCUCACUGAGCAAAGUGUGGAUUCUGGUUUUCACUCCCUGAUGCUUACAGUUAUCGAUUGCUCCAUGACAAGUGACCCCAGUAGUUAGUGGCUUAUUGUCAGCUGUGAUGUAUAGUUGCUCAUCAGUCUGUUUUUUUGAGUGUUCUGCUUCAGAAGGUGUCAGUAGGGACCCUGUCGCAGCUGGCAACUCCAAUAUAUCCUCAUUUCUGUGGCUGGCAGUGUAUACUGGCCUUGGGUUGAGAGUUCAAGUGGGCUGCAAGGCCCCGUUCUCUCGUCUCCUUCCUGUGCAACUCUGCACGUAGCUGCUUGGGCUUAUGGACAGCAUGGUGGUUUGGUUGCUUUUACAUUUCCUGAGGACAAGCCCUGUUGUGAAGGGCCUGAUAACGCUUGUCAAAGCUCAUCACAUGGCCAGGGCUAGAGUUAUCGUGAGAGAAGGGAAUGCAAUAUGAAUCCUUGAAGCUAUGAUCAACGGGGCCCCAAAUCUCAGUCUGCAACGUUGUCAUCCUGUGUAUUCAUGGGAAAAGUGCUGAGAGAUGUGAUCUGAAGACAGCAUAUAGAAAUAGGUAACAGUCUGUCACCCUUCUCAUUACUGGGAGCUUUGCUGUCUACUGUGUUGGGCUUGCGAAACAAUCUCCUCCUUAUCACUGUUAAUUAUAUUGGAGCAUUUUGUUUUGGUUUUCCUCUUCCUACUUCUCCCUGGAAUGUAGGAACUUACACUGAGUUUUGGAACCUGUAAUGUUUGAUGUGAAAUAUUUCCUUCUGUAUGGACAAGACUACAACUAUUUUAAAAUACAGAUGAAACAUUGACCUACUAUUCAUUAUCUCAAUACUGGCCACGUGCUUUAUGCCUUCUCUUUCUUUCUUUCCCCUCUAUCAUAAUAACAUAAAAAGGAUGAAUUAAAUUUCAACGUAAAAACACUGUCUCCCAUAAUAUAAACACUGGUCACUAACAAACCAGUGCCUCAUAGAUAAAUGACAGCAGCUUUGUUUGCUGCCCACAGAAGCUCCGAUGACCAAACAAGGUUACCAAUUUUAGCAGUGCUUAAAUUGUUCAUCAUAAGUGCUUACCUAUCUGUGGAUACUGGUUAACAGAAGGAUUUCCCAGCUGUGAUGCCCUGAGUCAGCUGAUGUGGUACUCAGGAGCUGAGCAGUGAGCACCAGGGCUCCGAAAUUCACUUUGAAGGGCAAAAUAAGAGUUUGUAUCAAGCGUGGGUCUCCAAAAGACAGAAUGGUGUGGUUUGGAGGAGGCAGAGGCUGGGAUGAGUUUGAGCAAGACCUGAGGCAUGAGGUCAAGUUCAAACUUAAAAUUGGCCAUCCAUAGUCACAGAUUCUGUACUGGUGAGUUCAACCAAUGACAGAGUGAAAUCAGUUGUGGGAAGAUGUUGCAUGUAUAUUGAACAUGUACACAUUUCUUUCUUGUCAUCAUUCUCUGAAUGAUAGCAUAUAACAGCUACUUACAUAGCAUUUACAUUGUGUUACAUAUUGUAAGUACUCUAGAGAUGAUUUAAAGUAUACAGGAGAAUAUGUGUAGAUUAUAUGCAAAUACUGUGUAAUUUUAUAGAAGAGAUUUAAUCAUCCAGGGGUUUUGGUAUUCUUGGAGGUCCCCAGAACCAAACCUGGGCUAUCACUGAGGGACAUCUGUGUUAUAUGAACACCCUGUCACAGCAGUUGUAUUCUUGAAACGUAGAGAAGGAGGAGCAGUGAGGGCAUUUGAAAAGAUAAAGAAGUCUGUGCGGGGAAUGCAAUUCUAGGGAGUUGGGAAGAGAUACGAUGAUACCAUUGCUCUGUCUUGGUGCAGGAGCGAGAGAGAGUGUACGGGGAGGCAGAUCAUCUAAUGACCAGCUGCAGGAGCUCCCCCUGCAUCCGCUGCUUGUACCCUCUUGAGUAAAUGCCCAGUGGGAGGUGGGGCUCCCUGGAGCAUGGGGGCUUAGGUGAAUAUGCCAGUUCUCACACAUUUUAAACAUUAUCAGUUGCUAAUUGGAAGCACUUAAUGGCAAGUUAGCUACUCCAGAGCUCUAUUCCUAUGCUAGGGAGUUGGUCCAUCAGGAGUCGGCGGUCUUGAAGACUGUGAGCUAGUAGUUCAGUCUUUUUUCCUAACGGCUAGUAUCCAGGAGCGCUAACUGCCAUUCUGUAACUCAUCAAACACUUCUUUUGAUAUGUCACUCACGGCUCUUGAGAGUUUCUUUGAAGAUGCUGAUUAUUUUUUUAGUAGAGGCUUGGGAGUUAACACAAGCUCUAAAGUAACAGUCUUUUACGUCUCAGGUAUCACUCCCAUACCUAAAACAUUUGUAUGGGUUGUCCCAGGCAGCAUUUGAGUCUCCCCUACAAAGGGUAGGUCCCUGGGGAAUCUAGGGACAUUGUGUGUGUCCAGUGACAGCCCUGCCAUUAUUUGCUAUGGACACUCAGAACUUUUCUGAAUUUGAUAGUAGAAUAAAUCACUUGUUUGCUGUUUGUUUCCUGCACAGGGCUAGGUGCUGUAUCAUUGGUGGAUGGGGAUGGAGGUAGAAAGGGGUUGUUAUUUAUCUUUUUUCACUAGAACCUAGUGUAAUUUCCUGGAAAUAAGAAGCAAAUGAAGACUUUCCCAACUGCCUCUUACCUUUCCUUCCUUUAUAGACACCAUGUAUGUGAAUGCGCAUGUGUUUGUGAAUUUUUACAACCCCAUCUCUGCUUACUUCAAGGUUUGUCUGAAUGUAGCCUCCUCCAUAAGACCAUGGUCCAUCACUUCCCCUGAGCUAGAAGCCGUCUCUUCCGCUUAAUGAGUCUUCAUAGUGUUUUAUUUGUACCUUCCUUUUGAUCUUUUAUCAUUGUUAUUUUUUGUGUUAUAAUUAGUCGUUACUUCCUUACCUCUACUUCUAUAUUUGAUGGUAAGAUUUUUGUUCCAACCCUCUUUCUGUCUUCUCAAUACCUACAUCCUGCCGGACCUCAGCUGAUGUUAUGUGAAGGGAUGACUGGCUGAGUGGAUGGAUGCAUUCAUGUCUGAAUGAUAAAAUUGUUGCUGUAUGUCCCCAGAUCCUUCUCAGUUUCUAACUGCUGUCCGGUCUGAAUUUCUUGGGAAGACAGGACACAGACACCAAGAAAGCAGUUGAAGUGUCUGUCUAAACCCUUCUUAGUUUUCCUGCGAUGUUUAGCCGAGGCAGACAAAAUGAUACCCUCAAAAAUUGUCUUUCCCCUUCUCGCUGAUGUUGAAGACAGAAGAGGAUGAAAGCAGUCUCUCUCUUCUCCUUCUCGCCCCUUACUCAGAGCUGUCUCCCCAAAGAAUCAGGCCCUUUUGGUCUCUAUCUUAGUAAACCUCAGCCUGAGCAAAGGGAAAAGAAGCCAUCUUGAUAACAAGAAUUAGCACUUUGUUGUUUGUAACCUUAGAGAUUUCUUGACUUGUUUGGCCAUAUGUGUGUAUUUCUAUAUAUUGUGAUUUGGAGAGUAAUAUGUGUCUCUAGAAUUUUCUAUUCCAUGGUUCACAUGCACCUUUUAUAUACAUAUGAGUAUGGAUAAGCCACAAGACCUCCCUGGACAGUUGCCUGAGCUGCACAUUGCCCAACCUCAUUCUUAGUACAAAACAGCCUUCAGGGUAAAAGCUGUUAUCUGUUUCAUUCUACAGUGGACACAUGGGAAUAUCGUGAUGCCUGAAGCUUUUUAACUGAAGGAAACUUUGGGCCAAGUCCAUUCCCGGGGCGCUCAUGUGUAUAUCCUCAGUAUGUGGCCAACAUGAGUAACCUGUUUACAAUUUCUUUGUGAAAGCAUAUGGUGGCCAGUUGUCUCUUGCCUUUUUCAGUUGGAAAGACACAUGGCAACUGCUCCCUGGAAUUACAGAUGUGACCAAGCUGAAGCUCAAGUUUACUGCUACAUGGCUGGGGCUUUCCCAUACAUACUGCUUUGUGGCAGUUCUCUUCAUGGCCACAGGGUUUUGUUUGUUUGUUUGCUUGCUUGCUUUUCUCUAUUCACAUUAAUUUACCAUUACUUGUGUAGUAUUUAUUCAGAACAAAGGUUUAAAGAGGCUUUUGUUUCAUACAAUGAUUUUGACUUACAGCUUAUUGAAAAUAUUAAGGGAACUUUGUUAUAGGGCCUUAAAAAGAGCAAUUUUGCAAGAAAACCUGAUACAUGAGAAAUUCAUCUGUUUGUUUAAAAGAUAAUGACAAGCCAAUUAACUGUGAAUUUAAUUUUAUGUUGAGAAAUAGUGCCAGCUGCUAAUGGGAGGCUUUCAGUUAUAAGUCAGUGAUUCCAGAGCUCAUAUGUGGAGUUGGCGGUCCUGAAGACUGUCCGCAGUGGUUUGGUCUCUCUAAUAGCUGGGGUCCAGGAAGCACCAUCCUGUGACUCAUCAAAUGCUUCUUCACUUCUCCAACAUCACUCACACUGUCAAAAGUAUCAUUAAAGAGACUUACUAAAAAAAAAAAACAGACUGGGAAAUGAAUGCAAGAUAGAAAGCAAGAGUUGCUCAUGUUUCAAGUAUGUUUUCAUGAUUAAAAAAUUUAGUUGGCCACCUCAGAUAUUGUUUAAGUCCCCUUAUAUUUAAGGGGGAGGGAUAAUCUCUCCCUGACCCAACACACACACACACACACACACACACACACACACACAAGGUAUUUACAAAGUUAAUGGAAAAUGCAUAUUUUAACUUUUCACAUCAUUUAAAAACAUUUAUUUUAUUUGUAAGGCAAGCGCACACACACACACACACAUACAUAUAACAACCACAGAUCCUUCAUCCUCUGUUUCAUUCUCCAAAUGCUCACAAUAGCAGGGCUGGGCCAGGCUGAAGCCAGGAGCCAAGACCUCAAUCUGGGGUUCCCACAGGAACCCAAGUACUUGAGCCAUAAUUUCUUGCCUUCCCAGAAUGUGCAUUAGCAGGAAAUUGGAUCAGAAGUCAAGUAGCUGGGUCUUGAAUCAGGCACUCUGAUACAGGAUAUGGACAUCACAACUAGUGACUUAACUGCUAUGCCAAAUGCCCACCCUUUACAAUGUUUUUGAAGUACUUUGCCUAUGCAUAUACAUGUUGUAUAAAUAUGAUGAUGUGGGGACCAGCACUGUGGCACAGCAGGUAAAGCUGCCACCUGCAGUGCUGGCAUCCCCUAUAGGUGCCAGUUUGAGUCCUGGAUGUUCUACUUCUGAUCCAGCUCCCUGCUAUGGCCUGGGAAAGCAGUAGAAGAUGGCCCAAGUCUUUGGGCCUCUAUAUCCGUGUAGGAAACCCAGAAGAAGUUCCUGGCUCCUGGCUUUGGAUUGGCUUAGCUCCAGCCAUUAUGGCCAUCUGGGGAGUGAACCAGCAGAUGGAAGACCUUUCUAUCUGCCUCUGCCUCUGCCUCUCUCUAGCUCUGCCUUUUAAAUAAAUAAAUAAAUCUUUUUUUGUUGUUCUACUUAAUACUAUUGGUUGAACUCUGUAAUUACACACAAUUAUUCUUAGGUGUUUAAAUUUAACUGAAAAGUGAUCCCUGUUAAGUAUAACAGCAGGAAUAAGAGAGGGAGGAGAUGUACAGCUUAGCACAUGCUCAAUCGGACUUGCCCCAAAUGGUGGAGUUAGAAACAUGCCAGGGGAUUCCAAUUCAAUCCCAUCAAGGUGGCAUGUACCAAUGCCAUCUCACUAGUCCAAGUGAUCAGUUUCAGUUCACAGUUGAUCAUAAUGAUAGGACUAAGAGUCAAAGGGAUCACAUAAACAAGACUAGUGUCUGCGAAUACUAACUGAUAGAAUGAAAAAGGGAGAGAAUGAUCCAACAUGGGAAGCAGGAUACACAGCAGACUCAUAGAAUGGCAGAUGUCCUAAAUAGCACUCUGGCCUCAUAAUCAGCCCUUAAGGCAUUGGGAUCUGGCUGAAGAGCCCAUGCGAAUAUUUCAGGCAUGGAAAGCCAAGACGCUCUGGCAAAAAAAACAAAAAACAAAAAACAAAAAACAAAAAACCAAAAAACAAACAAAAAAAAACCAACCAACCAACCAAACCAAACCUAUAUGAAAGAUCUCUGCGAGUGAGAUCCCAGUGGAAAGAACGGGCCAUCAAAGAAGGAGCUACCUUUCUCUGAAGGGAGGAGAGAACUUCCACUUUGACUAUGACCUUGUCUAAAUAAGAUCGGAGUUGGCAAACUCAAGAGGCUUCCAUAGCCUUGGCAACUCAUGACAAGAGCCUCGGGUAAUUACUGAUGCCAUAAACAAGAGCGUCAAUUGUUAAAUCAACAACAGGAGUCACUGUGCACUUACUCCCCAUGUAGGACCUCUGUCCUUAAUGUGUUGUACUAUGUGAAUUAACGGUAUAACUAGUACUCAAACAGUACUUUACACUUUGUGUUUCUGUGUGGGUGCAAACUGUUGAAAUCUUUACUUAAUAUAUAUUAAAUUGAUCUUCUGUAUAUAAAGAUAAU